UACAGAGGCCCCGAGCGCUAAUCGGAAUUACUGGGCUUAAAGGGUGCGUAGGCGGAUCUGCAAGCGUCUUGUGAAAUCCCUCGGCUCAACCGAGGAACCGCGGGGCGAACUGCAGGUCUUGAGGCAGGUAUGGGUCGCUGGAACAGUAGGUGGAGCGGUGAAAUGCGUAGAUAUCUACUGGAACGCCGAUGGUGAAGACGAGCGACUGGGCCUGUCCUGACGCUGAGGCACGAAAGCGUGGGGAGCAAACAGG
This 253-nucleotide ribosomal RNA is filed under the name uncultured prokaryote. RNAcentral's name for it is "partial 16S ribosomal RNA". It matches the Rfam family "Bacterial small subunit ribosomal RNA", at positions 524 to 776 of the family's 1533-position model. The record is from RNAcentral.